RNAcentral lists this ribosomal RNA (245 nucleotides) under uncultured bacterium. RNAcentral's name for it is "partial 16S ribosomal RNA". It matches the Rfam family "Bacterial small subunit ribosomal RNA", at positions 524 to 768 of the family's 1533-position model. The record is from RNAcentral.
UACAGAGACCUCAAGCGUUAUCCGGAUUUAUUGGGCGUAAAGAGCCUGUAGGCGGAUAUAUUAGUCAGACGUCAAAUCUCCGAGCUCAACUCGGAAACUGCGUUUGAAACGGUAUAUCUAGAGGAAGUGAGGGACCAGUGGAACAUAUGGUGUAGCAGUGAAAUGCGUUGAUAUCAUAUGGAACACCAAAGGCGAAGGCAUCUGGUUGGCACUUUCCUGACGCUGAGAGGCGAAAGCGUGGGUAG